AAUAAAAUAAAAUAAAAUAAAAAGCAGCAGAAUUAGGUGAUGGAGUUCCAAUUCAUUUGUCAUAUUAGAGCAAGUUGCCAAACAUAUCUCCAACUAUGGAAAUUGAUGAUGAAAUCAAGUGAAAAAAAUAUACAGAAGACAGUGCUCGUGUUCAAGUCUCAUAGUGCAGUCUGACGGUGGCUUGCAUCAGCUUCAAGUCACAAAGUAAUCAAUUGUUUUCCCCUUUUUUGAGAAGAAAAGAUCAACAAUUUCAUUAGAGGCCAAAGAAACAUAAUGAAUAACCACAUCAUAAUUCUAAGGCAAGUUAUAACGACUAUGCUUUUACAAAUAUCAACUAUGCAAACAUUAAGCAAAUGUUUGUCUACUCCAUUUCCAUCUCAAGUUAGGAUCAGUGUUAUGUAACCUAGCCCAGAGACACCGCCCCAGUUGAGGAACCACCAGUUCAAAUAGUGAGUUAAUGGCUCAACAGCACAUAGUAGAGGCAAUUAAUUAAUUAAAAAUAAUUUAUAUUUCUCAAUUUUUUUUUUUAAAUUUUAUGAGAUAAACGUAAAACAAAAGUGUACUAUCAUGUAUUGCAAAUGAUGCUUACAAUACAGGACAUGUUUUCCAGCCACAACAUUUAAGAAUAUGCAAUUCUUCAUCUUUUUCCCCCCCACUACACAAAAGAGGUGGUAUCUUAAUCUGCAUCAACAAGGAGGCCUUACAUUUUCAUUAACAAUACCAGAGAGGAACAGAAGAAAACAAGAAAAAUCCUGUCGGCCAAAGCAAAAUUUUAAGUUUUUUACGAGCAAUGUGAUGGAGAUGCUCAAGGAAGGAAAGAAAAAAAUCUUGAACAAGGUGUCAAAGAUGGUUUAAAAUUGAGAAAGUUUGAGCUAAAACAAAUUUUCUAACUCAAUGAACUUAGUCAAGGUACUAGUGUACCUUCAAAUACAAAUCAACAGACCUUCAACUCCAUUGCAUCAUCACUGAGGCUGAAUUACAGGGGUCCUACUAAAACCUUAAAGGUUGGUCUGCCACAAUCUUUUUCAUCUAAAGGGUUAAGGCAAUAAUUAUGGCGAAAAACGUAGCAAGUUAUGCAUGGAGACUUCUGAAGAUAAAACAGCCAAUUUCAUUCUCCUUGCAAUUACAAGAAGAGAGAAGAUGGCCAAAUAAACUUGUUCCAUUGUUCUUUUAUGCCAUUUGAGUAUGAUAAAAACUAACCUUCUACCUGCUCAUUCAAGGACAUUAACAGACUCUAAUCUUCUGCCAUAUGUUCGUUAAUAAUCUAACCAACAAUGAACUAGCCUUUAAUGAACAUAAGCACAGUCAAAAAUUGAAGGGCUCGUGCUUAAAAUACUAACGAACUAAUGAAGCCUUUGCAUGUUUCACAUUUUUAAUGGGGAGUUUUCCUCUCAAAACUGGUAUAAAAUCCGUUAUCCAUCAUCACUCAUUAAAAGUUCUUUUAUACUUUCCCGUUUAAAACAUGGAAACUUAGAUAUCCUUUUCGCACCUCCACCUAAUAUAAAGAUUAAUUUUUUUGUCAUUCUAGUCUAACCAAAGUUAGUUUGGCACUUAAUCCUUCAAAGCAAUCCAAUGAACAGAUUCUCUCAUUUCUACAGAACCCCUUAAGAAUGGUUUCAGUUACACUGGAGUACAAUAUAGCAUUUCUGGCUUCUUCAAUAAGAAUAAAAUCUUAAAAAUCCCAGGUGUUAUGAACACUUCCGAAGUGAAUACCCAUAAUCCAGCACUCUCCAAUAAGAGUAUCACCACAAUUACCAUGUUUUUAGGGUCCCAAUUACCUUGGAUAGCGUCUCCAUUCCCUUGUCAUUGCAGUACAUUCCCACCCACACAACUCACAAACAUAAUCAAAUGGCAAUACUGAUACAAAUUUCUUAUAUAAAUGAUUAAAGUUUUGUUUAGAAACUACAUAUACGCACAAGUGAGCUACGAUUUGCUUAGCAGACCCUCCAUCAAUAAAAUUAUAAAGUUUUGAGCCUCUUAAAAAAAAUUGACCAAAGAAUACACCCUUGCAGCUUGUUUGGGAGGAAGUUUUUGAAGGUAAAGAUGGGUUUUUAAAAUAACAUACUUGUUAUGGGUAGAAGGUUUUUCAAAGGAAGUAAGGUAAGGUUUCAUCACUUUUUCAAUCCAAAAAAUUGGUUGGGAAGGUAUCCUUAGUUUCAAUGGUUGCGCCAAUCUCACAUCCUUUCAGGUUUCAAUCAAAGAAACAAAAGCAAGAGUCACAGAACAGAAUGAAAUUAAUCUUCACUGGAAGUUAACAUAUGCACAAUUUUCCGUCCGACAAAACCUCAAUACCCAAUUGAAUCAGUUCAAUCUUCCACAAAUAGCAAUAAAAAAAAACAAUAAGAAAACUAAAAAAGAGAGCAAGGAAGAACCCUCAAUAAUCAAUCAAUCAAGAAAACCAGUUCGCCGCCACACCGCAUUUCUUACCUGUCUAAGAUCCCUCCCUUUGAGCGUCCUCCCAACACCUUCCAAAACCGAGCACGCCACCAUCGGCGACUGCGACCUCGCCACAAUCUCGUGAGGCGGAAGCAUCUCCCCAUCCCCUUUCUCCUCGUCCUUGUCAAUCUCGUCGAAUUCGCUAUGCCUCCUCCUCAUUGCCAUCGACAAAACCGGCACGUUGACCGGCGCAGACUGGGGCUGGUGGAACUUGGAAGAAGAAAAAGAAGCAGAAAUGGGCACUCUCUCCUGCGGUGGCUUAGGGAUAGAAGGAAUGAAACGAGAAGAAGAGGUCAUUGGCGAGGACGAGGUAGAUGAGGAGGGCGAAGAAAGCGCUGUUUUCUGGUACAAAUGGUGGUGGGAGUUGGUUUUAUGCUCCGUAAGUGCCGCCAGGAUGCCGAAAGAUUCUGGCUGGGGAAAGGCUUUAUGGCUAUGGGAAUGGAGCUGGUGGUGGCGCAGAGAGGAGUUGGAGGAGGGAGGACUAUUGUGAGAGUUGGGGUGAUGGUGGUGGUUGGAAGCUUCGGAAAAGUCGCCAGUGGAGAAUAUAUCGUCCUCAUUGAGCUCGUUUUCUUCGCUUUCGUAGGUGGUGGUCCCGGUGUUCUGUCGCGGUGCACGGGGGUAGGCGCUGAGGAAUCGGUCGAUCGACGGCGUUUUCCGGUGGCGGAAACGG
Molecule: unclassified non-coding RNA, 3106 nt
Filed under: Hevea brasiliensis (rubber tree)
Lineage: Eukaryota; Viridiplantae; Streptophyta; Magnoliopsida; Malpighiales; Euphorbiaceae
Source: RNAcentral